CCCUUCGGGGUGUGACUGCGUACCUUUUGUAUAAUGGGUCAGCGACUUAUAUUCUGUAGCAAGGUUAACCGUAUAGGGGAGCCGGAGGGAAACCGAGUCUUAACCGGGCGUUAAGUUGCAGGGUAUAGACCCGAAACCCGGUGAUCUAGCCAUGGGCAGGUUGAAGGUUGGGUAACACUAACUGGAGGACCGAACCGACUAAUGUUGAAAAAUUAGCGGAUGACCUGUGGCUGGGGGUGAAAGGCCAAUCAAACCGGGAGAUAGCUGGUUCUCCCCGAAAGCUAUUUAGGUAGCGCCUCGUGAAUUCAUCUCCGGGGGUAGAGCACUGUUUCGGCUAGGGGGCCAUCCCGGCUUACCAACCCGAUGCAAACUGCGAAUACCGGAGAAUGUUAUCACGGGAGACACACGGCGGGUGCUAACGUCCGUCGUGAAGAGGGAAACAACCCAGACCGCCAGCUAAGGUCCCAAAGUCAUGGUUAAGUGGGAAACGAUGUGGGAAGGCCCAGACAGCCAGGAUGUUGGCUUAGAAGCAGCCAUCAUUUAAAGAAAGCGUAAUAGCUCACUGGUCGAGUCGGCCUGCGCGGAAGAUGUAACGGGGCUAAACCAUGCACCGAAGCUGCGGCAGCGAACGUAUCACCCAAGACAACUUUACGGAGUUGACGAUUGACGGAGCGAAGCGACGUCAAAGCGUUCAUUAAAGUCGAGUUGGCUUAGGGAUACGUUCGUUGGGUAGGGGAGCGUUCUGUAAGCCUGUGAAGGUGUGUCGUGAGGCAUGCUGGAGGUAUCAGAAGUGCGAAUGCUGACAUAAGUAACGAUAAAGCGGGUGAAAAGCCCGCUCGCCGGAAGACCAAGGGUUCCUGUCCAACGUUAAUCGGGGCAGGGUGAGUCGACCCCUAAGGCGAGGCCGAAAGGCGUAGUCGAUGGGAAACGGGUUAAUAUUCCCGUACUUGGUGUUACUGCGAAGGGGGGACGGAGAAGGCUAUGUUGGCCGGGCGACGGUUGUCCCGGUUUAAGCGUGUAGGUGUGUGUUCCAGGUAAAUCCGGUUCACUUUAACACUGAGGCGUGACGACGAGGCACUACGGUGCUGAAGCAACAAAUGCCCUGCUUCCAGGAAAAGCCUCUAAGCAUCAGGUAACACGAAAUCGUACCCCAAACCGACACAGGUGGU
This 1169-nucleotide ribosomal RNA is filed under the name Salmonella enterica subsp. enterica serovar Typhimurium. RNAcentral's name for it is "partial 23S ribosomal RNA". It matches the Rfam family "Bacterial large subunit ribosomal RNA", at positions 582 to 1667 of the family's 2925-position model. Lineage: Bacteria; Pseudomonadati; Pseudomonadota; Gammaproteobacteria; Enterobacterales; Enterobacteriaceae. The record is from RNAcentral.